CCAAGCAGCGUCGGCCCCGAGCCCAGCCCGGCCCGCCCCUGUAUAAUCUGCUAAAAUCCUUCUAUAAGCCAAUUAAAACAGGAAAGGAUUUUUAAAAGAGAAUUAAUCAAAGGACAAACACAGCACAAAGCUGAAACAAAAUACUAUGGAUGCAAAUACCUAAGAUCCAGUGCUGCAGUUUCAGCCAAGUACAAAUGGUCACCAAUGGCAUGGCAUUUCAAAAAGAAAAAAAAAAAGGGAAAAAAAAAGAGAAAAAGAAAAAACGUACACGCUGUUACUGCUUCUUUGCGUCUUCAGGAAACUCAAGGACAUUAUCAAACUAUAUUUAUGCAAGCUGUGUUAGUUUUUUCAGGCCAAGGUACGUGAUUCAGUUUCCUUGAUGUAAGAGAUGAGAGUUGGCAGCCCAAAAGAGUUUGCAUAUGUUGUGUCGACAACAAUAGAAAUAAAUAUCAGAUAUAGUCAAGGCUAUAUCUGAUGUAAUUCCACAGCACUGUCUGAUUUCUUCAUAGAGAGAAAUGGUCCUAGGAGUGCCUGGGUAUACUCCAAAGAGGAAAAACAUAUGAAUAGUUAUAAAAACAAAAAAAAUAUGUGUGCAUAAAUGUAUGUUUUACAGAUAUAUUUUUAUGUUCCUUGAGAGUCAAAACUCAAAAAGAGUCAAACUUUUUAUGAAUAUAUGUGUAUGUACACACACAUAUUCUACAUCACCUGCUGUAUUUGAAUGAGAAGUGCCUUUUUUUUCAGCUUCCCUAUCAAUAUGCUAUUUCAGAGCAUAUUAAAGUAUUUUAAAGAGC
Pipra filicauda (Wire-tailed manakin) is the source of this 791-nucleotide long non-coding RNA. RefSeq lists it as uncharacterized. NCBI's taxonomy places the organism in Eukaryota, Metazoa, Chordata, Aves, Passeriformes, Pipridae. The transcript has 3 exons. The record is from RefSeq and is a predicted model, not a curated record.